CUGCUGGGCACAGCUAGGCGAUAGGAGUGGUGAUUCAAGAGAGAGAGAGAGAGGGGGAGGAGAGUCCUGGGGGGAAUCUCCAGGAGCUAGAGGGAGACCAAAACAAUGUCGGUGGCCCGCUAGACGGCCAGUGGUGCUCAAGUUGCUGUGACAACGUGGCCAUUAGCGACUAUCCGCUAACGAAAGAGAAGAGAAAUUAUAAUGGAGAUUUGAGUGGAGAAAAGGAGGAAAUGCAUUAGAUGAAUGGGAAUUUGAUUCUUUACUCUACGCGGUCAAGUCUUUACAGCAACAGGAAUAAUAAGGCCGGAUAACAGCGUCCCUCAGCCAAAUGAAGAAAAGUACGACUGCUGCACUGAAAAUCACGGCUACACUCCAUGAAACUCCAGCCGUAAUCAUGAUGUACGUAAAUAGUGCGAAGCUGUUUACAGUGUAAUUACGCUGGUGCAUCGUGGACAUUGAAUUCUCAAUCUCCUGAUUUUUCACUUGAAAAAUAGUGGAAGCAAGCACAACUUUCUACGGGAACAUUCACCCUGAGAUCAACAGCCUCUCUUCCUCUCGUUAUUGAAUCCCUGCCUGAUAUUGAAAAUUUACCGUUUCAUCUGCCUUCGUGCACGAUCUGUUGUGGCUGCCGGCUCUUUAUGAAAAUAUGUUCGUGUACCGAGGACACAUGCCUCGAAGUACUGACUCCAGUUGAUGAGACGUGGGUCCAUGGGAUGAGCAUCUCCUUCAUCGAGGACAAGAGCAUCCUGGAGGGAUUGGAUAUUACGACGAUCGAAUUUCCAUUUGUGGGUCGAAAAAAAUGAUGUGUAGGAGUUGCCCUUGAGGUACUUCUGCUGCACUUGGUAAACCCUGGAGAAUAUUGUCGGUUAACCACAGGAGAAUAUUUCACAAGAAAACCAGCAACGAAUUUGUUAACAAAUUUUGUUGGAUUACGUUGUGAUAAAAAUACUAUAUUUCGAGCUGAGGAAAAGGAUUAUGAGAAUGUCUUUGAUGCAAAAUGCCGAGCCAAAGUCCAUCAGCAAAUAAUAUUCAUCUUUGACGUUAUGAAAUAUGUAAAACGGUCAAUGUCACAUACGGAGAAGGUCAAGAGUAACGGAGGACUCACAAAUGCUUUUUCUCGGGGUUCGACAAGCGAAAAAUGCAGUCGAUGAUAAAGGCAGGAAAUAUCUGAAAAAUGUAGAUGACUAAAAUGUUCCUUAAGUGACUCUCUCUGGUCCUAGCUGUUGGAUACCACAGGGCAUUCUCGCAGGGAUGAGCUCGACAGGCUUUGACAACCUCCUCGCAAUAUUCAUCCCAGGUUGUCGGGUUUAUCGUGUUGGAGGUACAGUGGAAAAUGUGGAGGUCCUGGGGUUCUUGCUGGGCUCUCUCGGAGGCUGCCAGAAUUGUCGAGACCACCAUGUCCACGGGGAUCACAUCAAGGAGGGUAUUGGGGGUCGCCUGAAAUCUGAAUGGUGGAUAUUCCCGCGAGUUUUGAAUUUGCAUUUGGAGAUUUUAAAUGAGUGGAAUGUACAGACGUGCGAAAUAAUCCCUUUCCAAUACCAGCGAUGAAUCCACAAGCGCUAUUAUUGACGUUAUCCACCCAACCGACAGUUGGUUGUCUCCAGCUAUUCAAUACAAUGCUCGGCCUCACGAUCGAAAGGGGUACAUUUUCCCGCUCUAGAGCUAAUAAAUUUUCAGCCAUUUGUUUGGUAAAUGUGUGUAAAAUUUUGCAAACACCUAGAAGUUUCCACCGAAGGCAAACAAAUGCUGACGGACCUCUCCUGACGUUUGAAAUGGAGAUGACAGUUGUGACCACUGUGUGUCAUAAGUCAAUGAUACUUUGUACUCACCAUGUCA
Long non-coding RNA from Diachasmimorpha longicaudata, 1836 nucleotides. RefSeq lists it as uncharacterized. The record is from RefSeq and is a predicted model, not a curated record. NCBI's taxonomy places the organism in Eukaryota, Metazoa, Arthropoda, Insecta, Hymenoptera, Braconidae. The transcript has 7 exons.